Molecule: long non-coding RNA, 371 nt
Filed under: Olea europaea subsp. europaea
Lineage: Eukaryota; Viridiplantae; Streptophyta; Magnoliopsida; Lamiales; Oleaceae
Source: RNAcentral
GAUCAAACUGGAAGUUAAGCAUUCGAGUCAAAUAUAAUUGGGUAGGCAGGGGGUCAGCAUUCAAAACUGUAGAGUAUACAGAAGAGCAAACAAAAGGAGAAGAAAAAAAGAGAAGGACAAAAAAGAAGAGAACAAAAGAGAAGAGAACGAGCGAUUAGAGAUUGCAGAGGCCUGGGAUACCAUUUCAUUUGCACAAGUAAUAAGGGGUUCCAUGUUAAUAACUCAAUCUAUUUUUAGAAAAUAUAUUCUAUUAUCUUCAUAGAUAAUAGCAAAAAAUAUUGGAUGUAUGUGCUAUUACAACUUCCUGAAUGGGAGCUUAAAAAAUAAACGCCAAAAAAGAUCAAGAUCAAGAACAUGAAAAACGGCAUCAA